This 253-nucleotide ribosomal RNA is filed under the name uncultured bacterium. RNAcentral describes it as "partial 16S ribosomal RNA". It matches the Rfam family "Bacterial small subunit ribosomal RNA", at positions 524 to 776 of the family's 1533-position model. The record is from RNAcentral.
UACAGAGGUCCCAAGCGUUGUUCGGAUUCACUGGGCGUAAAGGGUGCGUAGGUGGUUGGGUAAGUCUGAUGUGAAAUCUCUGAGCUCAACUCAGAAACUGCAUUGGAUACUAUCCGGCUAGAGAAUCGGAGGGGGGACUGGAAUUCUUGGUGUAGCGGUGAAAUGCGUAGAUAUCAAGAGGAACACCUGCGGCGAAGGCGGGUUGCUGGGCCGACACUGACGCUGAGGCGCGAAAGCCAGGGGAGCGAACGGG